RNAcentral lists this transfer RNA (82 nucleotides) under Canis lupus familiaris (dog). It matches the Rfam family "tRNA". Rfam says of the family: Transfer RNA (tRNA) molecules are approximately 80 nucleotides in length. Their secondary structure includes four short double-helical elements and three loops (D, anti-codon, and T loops). The record is from Rfam by way of RNAcentral. Lineage: Eukaryota; Metazoa; Chordata; Mammalia; Carnivora; Canidae.
GCCUAGGUGGCUCAGAGGUUGAGCAUCUGCCUUUGGCCCAGGGCAUAAAUCCUGGAUCUGGGAUCAAAUCCCACAUUAGGCU